ACAUACGACCAUAGGAAGUGGAAAAUAGGGCUUCCCGUCCGCUCAGCCGUACUCAAGCCACUUGCCGGUCAGUUAGUAGUAUGGUGGGUGACCACAUGCGAAUCCUGACUGUUGUAUGUUUUU
RNAcentral lists this ribosomal RNA (123 nucleotides) under Aspergillus ochraceoroseus. The record is from RNAcentral. RNAcentral also lists the same sequence under 1 other name. Lineage: Eukaryota; Fungi; Ascomycota; Eurotiomycetes; Eurotiales; Aspergillaceae.